CAAUAGCGUAUAUUUAAGUUGCUGCAGUUAAAAAGCUCGUAGUUGGAUUUCGGGUGGGAAUGGCCGGUCCGCCGUUUCGGUGUGCACUUGCUACGCCCACCUUGCUGCCGGGGACGUGCUCUUGAGUUCACGCUCGGGACACGGAGUCGGCGAGGUUACUUUGAGUAAAUUAGAGUGUUCAAAGCAGGCCUACGCUCUGAAUACAUUAGCAUGGAAUAACACGAUAGGACUCUGGCCUAUCUUGUUGGUCUGUAGGACCGGAGUAAUGAUUAAGAGGGACAGUCGGGGGCAUUCGUAUUUCAUUGUCAGAGGUGAAAUUCUUGGAUUUAUGAAAGACGAACUACAGCGAAAGCAUUUGCCAAGGAUGUUUUCAUUAA
Molecule: ribosomal RNA, 377 nt
Filed under: uncultured eukaryote
Lineage: Eukaryota
Description: partial 18S ribosomal RNA
Rfam family: Eukaryotic small subunit ribosomal RNA
Source: RNAcentral